CCGGGCCUGGCCGCACGCGGGGGAAGCGGCGCUCGCUCCAGCACCGGGGUCUCCCCAGCAGCAGAGCGGGGGGGGGGCACCCAGCUCCAGACCAGGCUGAUUCCCCAGCACCCCGGGAGGGGGGGCGGACUCCCCCCCGCACCCACCUGCCAACACCACCCGCUCAUUCCCAGGGAGAGAAAUGCGGUUGAGUGACCUAGCGACACUUGGGGAGCUCGCCUCCCCGUCACACGAGGAUGGAGAAAGAGGGGGAGCUAACUAACCCUUCAGCAACUGCGCGCACACACACACCCCGCACUCAGCGCCAGAGAGACUGGAAGACUGAACCCUCCCACAGCCGAGCAGGAGUUAUGUAUUAGAGGUGAAGUUAAUGCACCUGAUGAAUAACAUGCAGCCUUCUUGAUGGAGUCAGGACAAAGACGAUCAGAGGGAAGAGGAAACCAAAUAUGAGAUUGCCCAUCAAACAGGAUUGGAGUCUUGGAACUGUAAAUGAAGAAGCAUGCUAAGGAAAAGCCCAUGUUGUGACAGAAAAAAACUUGCCAGAUUGCUUUCCAGGGAAAACAGCUAUAAGAAUGGAUCCAGGGAAUGAUCUUGUAUCUCUGAGUUGUUUGGACACUUUCAGGGAGCAUUCGAGAUGCAAGACACAGAUCCCCAAAGUCACUUGGGGUAACCCCAAGAGACUUAUGGAAAACUAAGAAAUUAUUACAUCUCUGCUAUCAUUUUGGACUUACAAACUUGGACUCAUCUGUUAAUGUAUUUUACCUACUCUAAACCACUC
Long non-coding RNA from Mauremys mutica (yellowpond turtle), 778 nucleotides. RefSeq lists it as uncharacterized. The transcript has 3 exons. Lineage: Eukaryota; Metazoa; Chordata; Testudines; Geoemydidae. The record is from RefSeq and is a predicted model, not a curated record.